Long non-coding RNA from Perca flavescens (yellow perch), 1122 nucleotides. RefSeq lists it as uncharacterized. The transcript is spliced from 6 exons. The record is from RefSeq and is a predicted model, not a curated record. Lineage: Eukaryota; Metazoa; Chordata; Actinopteri; Perciformes; Percidae.
CUUUUUUUUUUUUUUUUGGUCUACGUAGCUUUUAAUGUUAAACGUGAUGUCAGGUGCGUAAAUAAUUUGGACUGAAACAAACCUCGUGUUUACGCCAUUGUCAUUUUAUGUAGUCAAACGUUUAUCUACUCUGAAACUCUGAAAACCAUAUUCGUGUAGUGGAAACCUCAACCUGACGUCCUGUCGUCUCUUUGUAGCGAGUUAUCAGCGAGAAUUAUGGAUCCUGGAAAGCAAGAAGAUCCUGUCAAACCUGGACUGAUCAGCUGCUCAACCAACAAUUCUGCAGGGCACCAACCUACAGUUGGUCCUGCACUCGAGGCAACAACCACGUGGCUUACAUCAUUCUCUGCCAAAACAUAGGCGACGACCGGUGCAGACCAGAUCUCUAUGCACUGACAAAAUACAGACUCUGCUGUGCCAACACAGAUGCUGACAUCUUUGGAGAUGAUUGAUUUGCCCCGUCUGGCCAGAGAGGAGUGGAGAGGAGAGCAGAGCAGAGCUAGAGCCUCCCCGGGGCUGCAGCUUCCUGCCGCCCUGCCAUGGCACCACCACAGUGUCACUUCACCAGUGAUGGAGCCCCCAGACCCCCCCGUCUCCCAUCCCUUGUCUCCAGCAAGCUGCUGCAAUCAGCACAGGCCCUGAUUGGACUUGGGCAGGACAGAUUGGGAAGCCGUGAUGGCGGCACAGAAGUUGAGGGAGAAGCUAUUUAUCCCAGACGGAUCAGGAGGUGUGUGACGGAGGUGUGGACGGUUGCUGCAGGUCAGUGACGUUGGCAGGCGCCAGGCAGGCCAGCCCACAUGGCUCGGGGAGUGUGGGACUACAGACAGAUGGCACCUGGUGGGUGACAAACAAUUAACAAACCAACAAGAAUAGCUGGAUCGGCAGUAUACCCACAAGCACAGGAGAUAGCAAGAGAGCGGGUGCAUCUGUGCUCUGAACACUUUCACUCUUUACUUUUCCUCUUCCCGAGUCUUGUUUUGUAUAACAGUUGCAAUUUACCCAUGUGUCUUUUUCACAAAAACAGUCUUGUUGUCGUGUCGCUAUAGAACAGUCUAAAUAAAGCACUGUUGAACAUAUGCAGCCAGCAUAUGUUUCUGUUUAUUUCAGUGCAGUUUUGAGAGA